UACGGGGGGAGCAAGCGUUGUUCGGAUUUACUGGGCGUAAAGGGCGCGUAGGCGGUCGUGACAGUCACUUGUGAAAUCUCCGGGCUUAACUCGGAACGUCAAGUGAUACUGUCGGACUAGAGUACAGAAGGGGCAACUGGAAUUCUCGGUGUAGCGGUGAAAUGCGUAGAUAUCGAGAGGAACACCUGCGGCGAAAACGACUUCCUG
Molecule: ribosomal RNA, 207 nt
Filed under: uncultured bacterium
Lineage: Bacteria
Description: partial 16S ribosomal RNA
Rfam family: Bacterial small subunit ribosomal RNA
Source: RNAcentral